This 1284-nucleotide long non-coding RNA is filed under the name Neogale vison (American mink). Its description in RNAcentral is "Neovison vison (American mink) lncRNA (ENSNVIG00000011846.1)". Lineage: Eukaryota; Metazoa; Chordata; Mammalia; Carnivora; Mustelidae. The record is from RNAcentral.
CUCCUACCCCACCAGACAGGAAAUGGAAACUUCUGGAGAUGAAGGAGAGAGCAGAAGACCAGAAGUCAACUGUCAUCCUUUAUCAGGAACAGUCCCUACCACUACCGCCCACGGGGUUCUCAAAACACUGUCAAGGCGGCAGAAGUCAGCGAGUGGGGCUUUGGGGACACCCGCUUCCGCCCUUGCCCGACCUCCCCUCCCGCCCAGGAACUACCCGGGAACCAGGGCCUGAGCUCAGCCUGGUGCCCAGGACACAGCAGCUGUCUGAACAGCGGGAAGAGUAACCAUGAGAGAGAGAACUAACGUUAACGAGUGUCGCGUGAUGCCUGUCAACGUGCGACGUCUUUUACUUGUUCCAUUUGAUUUACUCUUCGAAAAGACUCUAGGAAAGAGUUUCUACUAUUAACAUCUAUUUACUAAAAUUAGGGAUCUAAACUCUAGGAAGCCAUGAGUAAAUGUGCGUAGGCACGAGUGAAGGACCGUCUGAAGCAACGUGUGAACACGUGAGUGACAGGGCCUGCUGGUUUCAGGGAGGAACAUGAGAGGUGGUGGGUAGGUUUAGUCUUCUGCGGCUGCUACGACACACGGUCACACACGUGCUAGCGUCCAACGACACACAUCCAUCAUCCUAUCGUUCGGUAGAGCAGAAGUCUAACGCGGGUCUCGCCGGGCUAACAUCAAGACGUCCGCGGGGCUGUAUUCCCUUCUGGAGCAGAGCUCCAGGGGAGAAGCUGUUUCCUCACCUUGUCCAGCUUCUAGAAGCCACGCACAUUCCUGGGCUCCUGGCUCCCUUCCUCCAUUUUCAAAGCCCAGCAAAACUGGGUCCAGUUCUCCUCCUUCUGCCACACUGCUAUCUUGGUUCGGGCCGCUGCUUUCAGAGACCCACCUAAAGAACGCAGCGUCCCCUCCCCACAGUACAGACAACGACCGGCCACCUCACUUCCAUCUGCAACUCUGACUCCCUCUGGCUGCAUACGGUGGCAUGUUUACAGUGUCCGAGGACAAGGACGUGGACCUCUUUGGGGACCGCUGUUCGGCCUAGGACAGUAGGUUCUUUUCAGAGGCUUUCUCCUCAUUUAGAAGAAAAUGUUUGCAAUAGGAGCAGCUGCAGCUCGUACCUAACCCCAUGGCAGGAUGUCAGAUCUCCGCUUCAAGAUUACAGGAAGACGAAGCCGAUUUGGCUCAUUUUCCUGGCAGGCUGGUGGGGAGGCAGCUGCCAUCCGACGGUCUCCUGCUGUCACCUUCGGAGGCAGACUCCCAGACAGUCCUCUGGGGGAAGGAUGA